This 477-nucleotide ribosomal RNA is filed under the name uncultured bacterium. Its description in RNAcentral is "bacterial SSU rRNA". It matches the Rfam family "Bacterial small subunit ribosomal RNA", at positions 17 to 507 of the family's 1533-position model. The record is from RNAcentral.
UCCUGGCUCAGAACGAACGCUGGCGGCGCGUCUUAAACAUGCAAGUCGAACGAUCUGUAGCAAUACAGGGAGUGGCGGACGGGUGAGGAACACGUAGGAAUCUACCUUGAAGAGCAGGACAACUUUGGGAAACCGGGGCUAAUACCGCAUAGUACAGAGAUGUUAAAGGGCUAGCAAUAGUCGCUUCGAGAUGAGCCUGCGGUCUAUCAGCUUGUUGGUGAGGUAAUGGCUCACCAAGGCUACGACGGAUAGCCGGUCUGAGAGGAUGAUCGGCCACACUGGCACUGAGACACGGGCCAGACUCCUACGGGAGGCAGCAGUUAAGAAUCUUGCGCAAUGGGGGAAACCCUGACGCAGCGACGCCGCGUGAAGGAUGAAGGCUUUCGGGUUGUAAACUUCGGUAGACUGGGAAGAAGAAAUACGUUCGUUGAGGGCGUAUAGUGACGGUACCAGUCUGAAGCCCCGGCUAAUUACGUG